RNA transcript from Gopherus flavomarginatus (Mexican gopher tortoise), 2012 nucleotides. It is a transcript of the gene named high mobility group nucleosomal binding domain 3, with no coding region annotated. NCBI's taxonomy places the organism in Eukaryota, Metazoa, Chordata, Testudines, Testudinidae. The record is from RefSeq and is a predicted model, not a curated record. The transcript has 7 exons.
GAGCUGCCCCGUUCUCGCCUCUGGGAAGCCGCGGUGGGCGCCUGUGGCAGGGGUCUCUUGGGUGUCAGCGGCGCAGGGGCAGUGAGCGUGGAGGGUGCGCAGCGCAGCGGCGGUCAGCAGCGCGGAGUAGAGAUUGCCUUGCCACCGCCGCUGCGUUAGGAGGCGGGAUCUGCGCUUGUGCAGAAGCUUGCUCAUUGCUUUACUUUUGCAGCCCGGGGCAGGGACAUUAUGCCGAAGAGAAAGUCUCCAGAGGGUGCUGAGGGCAAGGAUGCAGCAAAAAUAACUAAACAAGAGCCCACAAGACGAUCGGCAAGAUUGUCAGCUAAACCUGCUCCACCAAAACCUGAACCCAAGCCAAGGAAAACCACAAAGGAACCUGGAACAAAGGCUAACAAAGGUGCUAAAGGAAAGAAGGAUGAAAAACAAGAAGCUGCAAAGGAAGGUACUACACCAUCUGAAAAUGGUGAAAAUAAAGCUGAAGAGAUUCGCAUCUCUCGCUCAACUGUUAGUGUUUCAACAUCCAGAGGUGCCCCACCCAGCACACUGUCAGUAAAAGGGCAGAUUGAAACAGUGAAAGUUAAGGGUACGGUAGAGCAUUCUGCAUGUGUGCAGUGAAUAGAAACAGAUAGUAGUGUGGUGCUUUUCAUUAUGAACAAUGGAAGCUGGCAGGCACAGAGAACUGAAUCUGUAGGUGACAAGAGCGAAUGAAUUGUCAUGAAAAUUUUGGGUUGAUUUUAUGUACCUCUUGGACAACUUUUAAAAGAUAUUUUUAUCAAGUAUUUUGUAAAUGCUAAUUUUUUUAGGACGAUGAUAGUUGACAUACUAAACUGUAUAGGAACAUAUCCCUUCUCGUAACCAUGCUUUUAGAAAUUCCCAUUGCUGCCAAGUAAUAUAAAUAUCAAUUUAGCAUUGGAAGAUGUGUGUCAAAUUGGAUAAGCAUUCCAUACACUUGCUUUAAGAAAUUAAGUCUCGUACAUAUGGUGAUGGUUUUUACUGUGUGUAUUUGAAUUUUUCAUGCAGUUUUUCUAGAGCAAUAAUCAGUGGUGCUUUUGUACUUAGGGUUUAUGUGAUUUUAAUGAAACAUGGAUAGAUGUGGCCACCUGCUGACUAUUUUGGGUUCUAUUAAUGGAUUAAAAUAAAAGAUCUCCUUGCCUGCAAAUCUACAGCCUCCUAAUGUUUUCUCUAAAUCUGAGGAAUGCCUGACUCAUUUUUUUAACUAUUGUGUGGAAGACUAAAUGGUUUAGCAACUAUUGUGUUCUGCAUGCACUACGUUUGAUGCUUUUUGCUGGUCUCUGAUAAACAUAUUUAAAUGUCCACAUAUGAGUAACAGGUCAAGAUUUUCAAUGGUCCACAUAUUAAUGGCCUUCUCAAUAUGAAUCAGUGUAUUCGUUUUUACUAUCACAGUUGAAUAGAUUUUGUUUUACUGUACCAGUAUAACAUACAGUGAGAUACCAAGACAGAAUGAAUUGCUUGAUUGAAGCAAAUGUACAGUAACUGAAAGGCAUUCAGGAGCAGCUUUACUUCCUCUCUCCCUGCCCCUCCUUCCCCCCCCUUCAUCUAAUACAGGAGUUUUUAAUUUCUGCAGCUUAUUACAUGGAACUCUUGAUUCUAUCUGCUGCCCCAAAUUUAACAUAAAAUAGUAAUAGCUGUUCUACUUCAGCAGAGGACAGUUGUAAAUUUACUGCAAUUGCUGUUAAACAGCACUAUACUUGGUAUGUGGUAGAGAUGAAACAAUUAAAGUAUUUUUGAGGGGCUUGUGGUGGUGUUAAAUUAGCUAAUGAUCUUUAGUACCUAUAUAUUACAGCUCUUCAGCUCAUUAUAAGCGCCUUUGAUAGUUUUCUCUUUAUCCUCAUCUGGAACUCUAGUAUUUCUAUUGUUUGUGGGGGUGGGAAGGUAAGAAAGAAAUGUUCCCUGUUCAGUAACAUUUUAUUUGUAUUGCUGAAGUGGUGGCCAUUAUGUCUGGGGAUACUUUUGUUUGUUUCAGUCAAUAAAUAAAUGACUGUAUUGCUUGA